AUUAUAGGAGUUCUCGGAUGAGUUUCUUUCGAAAUUUUAUUUUGAUUCUCAAGCUCUUUUGGAUAUAAAAGUCCUUCUAUGGAAGAACAGAUAUAUAAUAAUGAUAUAUUUUAUGUUUAUAUCGUAGGUUCCUCUCCUGUACAAGGAAUUUUAUGCCCGAAAGCUAAAGAGAAAAUCUGGUAAUGAAAAUUUUGAAAAGAAACAAUUCCCGGGGAUAUUUUCAACCCAAUUUGAUGCAUUGGAUUAAUUUAACAGGUAUACUUAUGUGUAUAAGUUCUACAAGUAGUAUUUUCAGAAAGGCAAUGUGCGUAGAAUUGAUCGUUCAUAUAUCCACAUAGGUGCAAAUUCUUACAUGUAUAGUAUUGUUGAUAAAGAAUUGACUAACGUGGCAACGGCACCCAUUUUCCAAUGAAGAGCAAUAGACCAAGAACAGCAGCGUUGCACACCCAAGAUAGUGGACAUUGCUGCUGCUGUGAUAGAGAUGUAUGGAGACAUCUGAAGCUCUUCAUUGGACACAACAACAACAACAAUUAGAGCCUGUUUAGAAAUAUAUUCAACUAAUGUUCCGAAAAUCCUAAUUGUAGAACAAAUAGACCCAUUAGGUAUAAACUAAAGUGUUCAACAUAGAACGUGAAAUAUGGUCAAAGAGUUUUUCAGAGAAAAAGAAAGUAAAAAUUAAAUUAUCCCUAUUAUAUUUUAUAGACGGCAUCUGAAAUCUAUAAUGAGGACAUUUCUUGUUUUUAGUAUUUUCCUGGUUUCGCACCAAAUACGUAAUUUGCUUGGAAUAAAUUCCCUGGCGUUGCUGGACUUUACCUAUUCCCUCGUCUGUUCCCCUCCGGGAUACCAAAGGUUUUGGGUUCCGGGGGAAGUAUGGUUGCAAAGCUGAAACUUAAAGGAAUUGACGGAAGGGCACCACCAGGAGUGGAGCCUGCGGCUUAAUUUGACUCAACACGGGAAAACUCACCCGGCCCGGACACCGGAAGGAUUGACAGAUUGAUAGCUCUUUCUUGAUUCGGUGGGUGGUGGUGCAUGGCCGUUCUUAGUUGGUGGAGCGAUUUGUCUGGUUAAUUCCGAUAACGAACGAGACUCUAGCCUACUAAAUAGACCCACGGUCCUUUGUACCGUGAGCGGGUCUUCUUAGAGGGACAGGCGGCUUUUAGCCGCACGAAACAGAGCAAUAACAGGUCUGUGAUGCCCUUAGAUGUCCGGGGCCGCACGCGCGCUACACUGAAGGAAUCAGCAUGUGUCUACCCUUGUCCGAAAGGACCGGGUAACCCUCUGAACCUCCUUCGUGAUGGGGAUAGGGGAUUGUAAUUAUUCCCCUCGAACGAGGAAUUCCCAGUAAGCGCGAGUCAUCAGCUCGCGUUGAUUACGUCCCUGCCCUUUGUGCACACCGCCCGUCGCUACUACCGAUUGAAUGGUUUAGUGAGGUCUUCGGACUGGUUCAUUGAUCAGUUUCGGCUGUUAUUUGAGCCGGGAAGAUGAUCAAACUUGGCCAUUUAGAGGAAGUAAAAGUCGUAACAAGGUUGCCGUAGGUGAACCUGCGGCAG
Molecule: ribosomal RNA, 1550 nt
Filed under: Cordylochernes scorpioides
Lineage: Eukaryota; Metazoa; Arthropoda; Arachnida; Pseudoscorpiones; Chernetidae
Description: bacterial SSU rRNA
Rfam family: Eukaryotic small subunit ribosomal RNA (bases 458-1550)
Source: RNAcentral